AACGCUGGCGGCAGGCUUAACACAUGCAAGUCGAACGGGCACUUCGGUGCUAGUGGCAGACGGGUGAGUAACACGUGGGAACGUACCUUUCGGUUCGGAAUAACUCAGGGAAACUUGAAUUAAUACCGGCUACGCCCUUCGGGGGAAAGAUUUAUCGCCGAAAGAUCGGCCCGCGUCUGAUUAGCUAGUUGGUGAGGUAAAGGCUCACCAAGGCGACGAUCAGUAGCUGGUCUGAGAGGAUGAUCAGCCACAUUGGGACUGAGACACGGCCCAAACUCCUACGGGAGGCAGCAGUGGGGAAUAUUGGACAAUGGGCGCAAGCCUGAUCCAGCCAUGCCGCGUGAGUGAUGAAGGCCUUAGGGUUGUAAAGCUCUUUUGUCCGGGAAGAUAAUGACUGUACCGGAAGAAUAAGCCCCGGCUAACUUCGUGCCAGCAGCCGCGGUAAUACGAAGGGGGCUAGCGUUGCUCGGAAUCACUGGGCGUAAAGGGCGCGUANGCGGACUC
RNAcentral lists this ribosomal RNA (504 nucleotides) under Allobosea sp. D256a. RNAcentral describes it as "bacterial SSU rRNA". It matches the Rfam family "Bacterial small subunit ribosomal RNA", at positions 32 to 582 of the family's 1533-position model. The record is from RNAcentral. Lineage: Bacteria; Pseudomonadati; Pseudomonadota; Alphaproteobacteria; Hyphomicrobiales; Alloboseaceae.